This 706-nucleotide ribosomal RNA is filed under the name uncultured bacterium. RNAcentral's name for it is "bacterial SSU rRNA". It matches the Rfam family "Bacterial small subunit ribosomal RNA", at positions 94 to 804 of the family's 1533-position model. The record is from RNAcentral.
GUUGGCGGCGGGAGAGUAACGCGUGGAGAAUGCCUUUAGAGUCGGGAGAGCCGCGGGAAAUGCAGGUAAUACCGAAUAAUGUCUCCGGACCAAAGGUGUGAUUCCGUCUAGGGAUGAGUCCGCGUCCUACUAGCUUGUUGGUGGGGUAAUGGCCUACCAAGGCAAUGAUGGGUAGCGGGUGUGAGAGCAUGGCCCGUCUCACUGGGACUGAGACACUGCCCAGACACCUACGGGUGGCUGCAGUCGAGAAUCUUCCGCAAUGGACGAAAGUCUGACGGAGCGACGCCGCGUGCGGGAUGAAGGCCCUCGGGUUUGUAAACCGCUGUCAGUUGGGAGGAAAUGCAUAAGGGUUCUCUCUUAUGUUUUGACCGAUCUUCAGAGGAAGUCCGGGCUAAGUUCGUGCCAGCAGCCGCGGUAAGACGAACCGGACGAACGUUAUUCGGAAUCACUGGGCUUAAAGAGUGCGUAGGCGGCUUGGUAGGUUGGGUGNUGAAAUCCCCACAGCUCCAACUGUGGAACUGCGCUCAAAACCACCAAGCUUUGAGGAAGGCAGAGGUGAGCGGAACUGAUGGUGGAGCGGUGAAAUGCGUUGAUAUCAUCAAGAACACCGGUGGGCGAAAGCGGCUCACUGGGGCCUUUUCUGACCGCUGAGCACGAAAGCUAAGGGUAGCGAACAGGAUUAGAUACCCUGGUAGUCCUAGCUGUA